CUCGCCUGAGUCACUGAAAAAUUUCGGUUUUGGUUCAGCCCUCGACACGUCUUUUUUGAAAGUGCCGGAGGCCCAGAAACUCCUUUAUUCCCACAGCUGCACUGGUGACCCGGCCACGCUGUCUCCUGGCAGACCAACACUUCCCUGGCUCGGUUUCUGUCUCAGUUUGACGGUUGACUUGGGAGUGUGAGAAAGCUGGGUCAGGAAGAGUCCCGCAGCUCCGGAGAGCACCCCCGGCUCCAGCCCUGUGACAUGGCUGGUGACCUGCUUUCGAAGAGCCGUCACGGGGACUGGCAGGAGUUGAGAAGCAGGGCCCAGAGAGCACAGCUGCAGUGGAUGGACCUGCAGAGCCCCACACCUUGGACAUCCUGAUCACCGGGCUGAACGAGCCGGGCGUGACUUACAGGUUCUUCAUGCUUAGCAAAGUGGAGAAUCUCGAAUUCGCCUCCUACGGCAGCGACACACGAGAGACGAAACCCAAGAGCGAGUGGGUAGAACAGGCUCUUGGCACAAGAUACUUAAGGAAGAAGUCCCAGGGACAUGGGGGAUUCUCUGUGGAGGCUGGAUACUCCGUUCUGGACUUAGAUCAGGAGUGAUGGGCUCCCUGCGGCAGUGCCGGGGUGCACGCGAUGCCCUGUGUGAGCUGGGCCCAGUCACUCUGUAUCGCUGGCCUCAGUUUCCCCAUCUGUGACCCAGGGACAAUGGCCCAGCCCUGUUGCGUGGGGUGAUGGGGAUACGUGCAUAGGGAUGGGGAGGGGCCGGAGCUGUAGAUGUACCAACGAUUAGAAAAUAUCCUGCACCGUUUUUCCUCCCUGUCUCUCCCUCAUGGAUCCACACCCUGCAGCUCCACGUGAACUGUGCGCUGGACGGGGACACCCCCGUGCGAGGGCCCUUUCGCUUUGCUUUCGACGGGCAGGAUUUCCUCGUCCUGGAGAGGGCGGCGUGGGCCAAUCCGCGUGGGCGCCGCUGGCACCAGGAGCCCUCAACGAGACGCUCUACCGGGAGGCCGGUCACACCUGGACCCUGUUUGCAAAGCAGUCCCUGCAGGGGGCGGGCGUGGCCACCCUGAGGAGCCUGCUGCGGGGCAGGACGGAGGCCCCGGGACGGCAGGCCUUCUGCUUCCCACCCCGGGCCCUGCCCUUCCCUGGUAGCAGAGCCCAGCAAAGCCAGGCCGCGCCUUGCAACGAAGGGCUGAGAGGCGGAGCUCGACCAACAGCUUUUAGCACCCCACAAACCCUUGCUUCCUUCGCUGGAUGGUGCACCCCGGGGUGACCCUCUCCCAGCUCAGCCUGUGGAACUCACUGCCACUGUCACGGGCCGGGAACUGACAGAGAGUCACAAAGACGCUGGACUCUUGUGAGCCACAAAAACACCCAGACUAGUUAUUCCUGGCUGUUGCCGGCUUGUGUUCUCCCUGUGUCAGGACACAAGGACAAGGGGACGCUCAGGGCUUGUCUACACUACCAAGCUGUCAACAAAACCUUUAUCUUUCACGGGUGCUUAAAAAAGCCGCCCCCCUCCCCAAAAGACAAACGUUUUGCCUUGGCAAGUGGGAGUGUGAACGCAGCUUUUUCGGCAGGAGCACUCUCCUGCCGCCAAAGCAAAUGCCGCUCACGGGACUGGAAGUAUUUUAUCGGCCAAAGUGCCAACAAAGUGCGUUUACACACUCCAACGUUUAGUCGACACACCCUUGUCGCUAAAAGCUGCGUGGUGUAGACCAGCCCCCCGUGGAACUGAAAGGGGGCAAGUUCCCACCUACUCACACCCAACAAAAGGACGCACAUGGGACUGGCCUGUGGAACUCUCUGCCACAGGGUGUUGCAGAGGCCAAGAACGGAGCAUGAUACAGAAAGGGAAACUUCUGUGACUUGCCACAACAUCCAGAAUAAAGAACAGGAGGACUCGUGGCAUCUUAGAGACUAACCAAUUUAUUUGAGCCUAAGCUUUCAUGAGCUACAGCCCACUUCAUCGGGUGCCUGCAGUGGACAAUACAGGGGGGAGAUUUAUAUACACAGAGAACAGGAAACAAGGGGUGUUGCCGUACACACGGUAACGAGAGUGAUCAGGUGAGGUGAGCUAUUCCUAGCGGUGGGGGGGGGGGGACACCUUU
This is a long non-coding RNA of Chelonia mydas (Green sea turtle), 2110 nucleotides long. RefSeq lists it as uncharacterized. The transcript has 2 exons. The record is from RefSeq and is a predicted model, not a curated record. Lineage: Eukaryota; Metazoa; Chordata; Testudines; Cheloniidae.